AACGAACGCUGGCGGCAGGCUUAACACAUGCAAGUCGAACGUGAAGCUGGAGCUUGCUCCAGUGGAAAGUGGCAGACGGGUGAGUAACGCGUGGGAAUUUACCCAGUGGUUCGGAAUAACUUCAGGAAACCGGAGCUAAUACCGAAUACGCCCUUCGGGGGAAAGAUUUAUCGCCAUUGGAUAAGCCCGCGUCGGAUUAGCUUGUUGGUGAGGUAAAAGCUCACCAAGGCGACGAUCCGUAGCUGGUCUGAGAGGAUGAUCAGCCACACUGGGACUGAGACACGGCCCAGACUCCUACGGGAGGCAGCAGUGGGGAAUAUUGCGCAAUGGAGGAAACUCUGACGCAGCCAUGCCGCGUGAGUGAAGAAGGCCUUAGGGUUGUAAAACUCUUUCGCUAGGGAAGAUAAUGACGGUACCUAGUAAAGAAGCCCCGCCAACU
Molecule: ribosomal RNA, 439 nt
Filed under: uncultured bacterium
Lineage: Bacteria
Description: bacterial SSU rRNA
Rfam family: Bacterial small subunit ribosomal RNA
Source: RNAcentral